GGGCCGAUAGCUCAGCUGGUAGAGCAACGCCCUUUUAAGGCGUGGGUCACAGGUUCGAACCCUGUUCGGCUCA
RNAcentral lists this transfer RNA (73 nucleotides) under Spirochaeta africana DSM 8902. Its description in RNAcentral is "tRNA-Lys (TTT) (tRNA-Lys-TTT-1-1)". It matches the Rfam family "tRNA". Rfam says of the family: Transfer RNA (tRNA) molecules are approximately 80 nucleotides in length. Their secondary structure includes four short double-helical elements and three loops (D, anti-codon, and T loops). Further hydrogen bonds mediate the characteristic L-shaped molecular structure. tRNAs have two regions of fundamental functional importance: the anti-codon, which is responsible for specific mRNA codon recognition, and the 3' end, to which the tRNAs corresponding amino acid is attached (by aminoacyl-tRNA synthetases). tRNAs cope with the degeneracy of the genetic code in two manners: having more than one tRNA (with a specific anti-codon) for a particular amino acid; and 'wobble' base-pairing, i.e. permitting non-standard base-pairing at the 3rd anti-codon position. The record is from Rfam by way of RNAcentral. Lineage: Bacteria; Pseudomonadati; Spirochaetota; Spirochaetia; Spirochaetales; Spirochaetaceae.